CUGGAGCAAGAAGAUCUCAGGCUGUGACCAUCUACAGGGAAGCACUUUCUAUGGUCAGAAAAAGAAAGUGCAUCCUUUUAGAGUGUUACUAUUUGAGAAAAGCAACAUUGAA
Macaca mulatta (Rhesus monkey) is the source of this 112-nucleotide non-coding RNA. RefSeq annotates it as microRNA mir-517b. The record is from RefSeq and is marked provisional. NCBI's taxonomy places the organism in Eukaryota, Metazoa, Chordata, Mammalia, Primates, Cercopithecidae.